RNAcentral lists this unclassified non-coding RNA (217 nucleotides) under Hevea brasiliensis (rubber tree). The record is from RNAcentral. Lineage: Eukaryota; Viridiplantae; Streptophyta; Magnoliopsida; Malpighiales; Euphorbiaceae.
AGGACUAGCUCGAGCUCGAGCUUCAAUACGCAAGGCAGGCACAUCAUCUCUAAUCGUCUCGCCAAUUGCCGGCCUCAACCAAAGCGACGUCGACAGAGAAUUUGUUUAUCGUAACGGAGCCUCAUUUUACCAGAGUUAUCUGGAGAUGGAGAGAAGAUUCAAGGUCUACGUAUACUCGGAAGGGGACCUACCAAUCGUCCAUGAUGGGCCAUGCAAG